RNA transcript from Nomascus leucogenys (northern white-cheeked gibbon), 2027 nucleotides. It is a transcript of the gene named Rh family B glycoprotein, with no coding region annotated. The transcript has 11 exons. NCBI's taxonomy places the organism in Eukaryota, Metazoa, Chordata, Mammalia, Primates, Hylobatidae. The record is from RefSeq and is a predicted model, not a curated record.
CAGAGCCUGCGAGCGCCAGCCGAGAUCGCAGCCCAGAUCCAUGGCCGGGUCUCCUAGCCGCGCCGCGGGCCGGCGACUGCAGCUUCCCCUGCCGUGCCUCUUCCUCCAGGGCGCCACUGCCGUCCUCUUUGCUGUCUUUGUCCGCUACAACCACAAAACCGACGCUGCCCUCUGGCACCGGGGCAACCACAGUAAAGCGGACAAUGAAUUUUACUUUCGCUACCCAAAUGGAGUUUCACUCUUGUUGCCCAGGCUGGAGUGCAAUGGCACGAUCUCAGCUCACCACAACCUCUACCUCCCAGGUUCAAGCAAUUCUCCUGCCUCAGCCUCCUGAGUAGCUGGGAUUACAGGCUUCCAGGACGUGCAUGCCAUGGUCUUCGUGGGCUUUGGCUUCCUCAUGGUCUUCCUGCAGUGUUACGGCUUCAGCAGCGUGGGCUUCACCUUCUUCCUGGCCGCCUUUGCCCUGCAGUGGUCCACACUGGUCCAGGGCUUUCUCCACUCCUUCCACGGUGGCCACAUCCAUGUUGGCGUGGAGAGCAUGAUCAGCGCUGACUUUUGUGCGGGGACCGUGCUCAUCUCCUUUGGUGCCGUCCUGGGCAAGACCGGGCCUGCACAGCUGCUGCUCAUGGCCCUGCUGGAGGGGGUGCUGUUUGGCAUCAAUGAGUUUGUGCUCCUUCAUCUCCUGGGGGUGAGAGAUGCCAGAGGCUCCAUGACUAUCCACACCUUUGGUGCCUACUUCAGGCUCGUCCUUUCAUGGGUUCUGUACAGGCCCCAGCUGGAGAAAAGCAAGCACCGCCAGGGCUCCGUCUACCAUUCAGACCUCUUCGCCAUGAUUGGGACCAUCUUCCUGUGGAUUUUCUGGCCUAGCUUCAAUGCUGCACUCACAGCGCUGGGGGCUGGGCAGCAUCGGACGGCCCUCAACACAUACUACUCCCUGGCUGCCAGCACCCUCGGCACCUUUGCCUUGUCAGCCCUUGUAGGGGAAGAUGGGAGGCUUGACAUGGUCCACAUCCAAAAUGCAGCGCUGGCCAGAGGGGUUGUGGUGGGGACCUCAAGUGAAACGAUGCUGACACCCUUUGGGGCUCUGGCAGCUGGCUUCUUGGCUGGGACUGUCUCCACGCUGGGGUACAAGUUCUUCAUGCCCGUCCUUGAAUCGAAAUUCAAAGUCCAAGACACAUGUGGAGUCCACAACCUCCAUGGGAUGCCGGGGGUCCUGGGGGCCCUCCUGGGGGUCCUUGUGGCUGGGCUUGCCACCCAUGAAGCUUAUGGAGAUGGCCUGGAGAGUGUGUUUCCACUCAUAGCCGAGGGCCAGCACAGUGCCACAUCACAGGCCAUGCACCAGCUCUUUGGGCUGUUUGUCACACUGAUGUUUGCCUCUGUGGGUGGGGGCCUCGGAGGCAUCAUAUUGGUCUUAUGCCUCCUAGACCCCUGUGCCCUGUGGCACUGGGCGGCACCCUCCUCCAUGGUGGGGGGCAGAGAAGCCUCACAGAUCCUCCCCUACCACCACCAGGGCUCCUGCUGAAGCUACCCUUUCUGGACUGCCCCCCAGACUCCCAGUGCUAUGAGGACCAAGUUCACUGGCAGGUGCCUGGUGAGCAUGAGGAUAAAGCCCAGAGACCUCUGAGAGUGGAGGAGGCAGACACUCAGGCCUAACCCACUGCCGGCCCCUGAGAGGACACACUCCUUUUUGAAGAUGCUGACUGGCUGCUACUAGGAAGUUCUUUUUGAGCUCCCAUUUCUCCAGCUGCAAGAAGGGAGCCAUGAGCCAGAAGGAGGCCCCUUUCCACAGGCAGCGUCUCCACAGGGAGAGGGGCAGCAGGAGGCUGGGAGAUGGUGGGGAGUGGGGCCAUAACUGGGUACGGUAGGGGGAACCUCACCAGAUGCCUGACCUGACUGCCCUACCAGCCUGCACAUGGGUAGAAGAGGCCAAAUUGAGGCACCCAAGUGAUCCACUGGCCCCACGUCACACAGUUACAGUGAAGCCCAAGCCAGGCCUGGUUGAGGGUGAUAAACACCACCGUCUCUAA